GUGGUUGUGGCUCAGCGGUAGAGUGCCUGCCUAGCAUGUGCAAAAGCCUGGGUUCGAUCCUCAGAACCACA
This 71-nucleotide transfer RNA is filed under the name Marmota marmota marmota (Alpine marmot). It matches the Rfam family "tRNA". From Rfam's summary of the family: Transfer RNA (tRNA) molecules are approximately 80 nucleotides in length. Their secondary structure includes four short double-helical elements and three loops (D, anti-codon, and T loops). The record is from Rfam by way of RNAcentral. Lineage: Eukaryota; Metazoa; Chordata; Mammalia; Rodentia; Sciuridae. RNAcentral also lists the same sequence under 1 other name.